GAUGAACGCUGGCGGCGUGCCUAAUACAUGCAGGUCGAGCGAACGGACGAGAAGCUUGCUUCUCUGAUGUUAGCGGCGGACGGGUGAGUAACACGUGGAUAGCCUACCUAUAAGACUGGGAUAACUUCGGGAAACCGGAGCUAAUACCGGAUAAUAUUUUGAACCGCAUGGUUCAAAAGUGAAAGACGGUCUUGCUGUCACUUAUAGAUGGAUCCGCGCUGCAUUAGCUAGUUGGUAAGGUAACGGCUUACCAAGGCAACGAUGCAUAGCCGACCUGAGAGGGUGAUCGGCCACACUGGAACUGAGACACGGUCCAGACUCCUACGGGAGGCAGCAGUAGGGAAUCUUCCGCAAUGGGCGAAAGCCUGACGGAGCAACGCCGCGUGAGUGAUGAAGGUCUUCGGAUCGUAAAACUCUGUUAUUAGGGAAGAACAUAUGUGUAAGUAACUGUGCACAUCUUGACGGUACCUAAUCAGAAAGCCACGGCUAACUACGUG
Molecule: ribosomal RNA, 497 nt
Filed under: uncultured bacterium
Lineage: Bacteria
Description: partial 16S ribosomal RNA
Rfam family: Bacterial small subunit ribosomal RNA
Source: RNAcentral